UACGGAGGAUGCAAGCGUUAUCCGGAAUGAUUGGCGUAAAGCGUCCGCAGGUGGCUGUGUAAGUCUGCUGUCAAAGAGCGAAGCUCAACUUCGUAAAGGCAGUGGAAACUACACGGCUAGAGUGCGUUCGGGGCAGAGGGAAUUCCUGGUGUAGCGGUGAAAUGCGUAGAGAUCAGGAAGAACACCGGUGGCGAAGGCGCUCUGCUAGGCCGCAACUGACACUGAGGGACGAAAGCUAGGGGAGCGAAUGGG
RNAcentral lists this ribosomal RNA (252 nucleotides) under uncultured bacterium. RNAcentral describes it as "partial 16S ribosomal RNA". It matches the Rfam family "Bacterial small subunit ribosomal RNA", at positions 524 to 776 of the family's 1533-position model. The record is from RNAcentral.